RNAcentral lists this unclassified non-coding RNA (475 nucleotides) under uncultured Archaeospora. Its description in RNAcentral is "SSU rRNA". It matches the Rfam family "Eukaryotic small subunit ribosomal RNA", at positions 569 to 1053 of the family's 1831-position model. The record is from RNAcentral. Lineage: Eukaryota; Fungi; Glomeromycota; Glomeromycetes; Archaeosporales; Archaeosporaceae.
AGCAGCCGCGGUAAUUCCAGCUCCAAUAGCGUAUAUUAAAGUUGUUGCAGUUAAAAGCUCGUAGUUGAAUUUCGAGACCGGUUUACUGGUCGUGCUUUUGUACGUACUGGUAUUAUUGGUUUCUCCUUUCUGACGAAUCUUAAUGCCAUUAAUUUGGUGUUUUGGGGAAUCAGGACUGUUACUUUGAAAAAUUAGAGUGUUUAAAGCAGGCUCACGCUUGAAUACAUUAGCAUGGAAUAACGGAAUAGGACGUUUGAUUCUAUUUUGUUGGUUUCUAGGAUCGACGUAAUGAUUAAUAGGGAUAGUUGGGGCAUUAGUAUUCAAUUGUCAGAGGUGAAAUUCUUGGAUUUAUUGAAGACUAACUACUGCAAAAGCAUUUGCCAAGGAUGUUUUCAUUAAUCAAGAACGAAAGUUAGGGAUCGAAGGCGAUCAGAUACCGUCGUAGUCUUAACCAUAAACUAUGCCGACUAGGGAU